This 584-nucleotide ribosomal RNA is filed under the name Blastocystis sp. RNAcentral's name for it is "SSU rRNA". Lineage: Eukaryota; Bigyra; Opalinata; Blastocystidae. The record is from RNAcentral.
ACGGGUGAAUGCAUAUAAACGCUCACCGAUGCUGCUUUGUUGCUUCGACUCUGCUGCUGCGUGUGGGUCAUUAUACCGCUUUUAAAGAAUUAUGGUGAAGGAUGCUAAUAUGGAUAAGAGCAGCCCUUAAAAGGCUAAUAAAUGAGUCAAGGUAGGUGGGGAUGUGUUUAUUAGAAUGAAAAUAAUAUGUUUAGGUAUGAUAUCUUGAAAUAGUAAGUUAUUGUAUUGAAUGUUAAAAGUAGNGAUGAGUUUUUNAAGUUUUUGUGUUAUGAGGUUUUGAUGGUAGUAUAUGGGUUUAGUAUGGAAGUAAAGGGUAAUGAAGAAUUUGGGUUAGAUUUAGGAGAGGGAGUAUGAGAGAUGGAUAGUAUAUUGAAGGAAGGGAGUAGGUGUGUAAAUUAGUAAAUGUUGAGAUAGGGAGGUAGUGAUAAUAAAUGAUAAUGAGGGAUUUGUAGUUUUGGAAUUGGAUUGAGAAGAAGGUAAAAUUUUUAUGGAUAAGGAAUUGGAGGGUAAGUAUGGUGUUAGAAGUGGUGGUAAUUGUAGUUAGAAUAGAGUAUAUUAAGGUUGUUGGAGUUAAAAAGGUCAGG